Molecule: ribosomal RNA, 253 nt
Filed under: uncultured bacterium
Lineage: Bacteria
Description: partial 16S ribosomal RNA
Rfam family: Bacterial small subunit ribosomal RNA
Source: RNAcentral
UACGGGGGGGGCAAGCGUUGUUCGGAAUUACUGGGCGUAAAGGGCUCGUAGGCGGCCAACUAAGUCAUACGUGAAAUCCCUCGGCUUAACCGGGGAACUGCGUCUGAUACUGGAUGGCUUGAGUUCGGGAGAGGGAUGCGGAAUUCCAGGUGUAGCGGUGAAAUGCGUAGAUAUCGGGAGGAACACCUGUGGCGAAAGCGGCUCACUGGACCACAACUGACGCUGAGGCGCGAAAGCUAGGGGAGCAAACAGG